Molecule: ribosomal RNA, 483 nt
Filed under: uncultured bacterium
Lineage: Bacteria
Description: partial 16S ribosomal RNA
Rfam family: Bacterial small subunit ribosomal RNA
Source: RNAcentral
AUUGAACGCUGGCGGCAGGCCUAACACAUGCAAGUCGAGCGGAUGAAGGGAGCUUGCUCCUGGAUUCAGCGGCGGACGGGUGAGUAAUGCCUAGGAAUCUGCCUGGUAGUGGGGGAUAACGUCCGGAAACGGGCGCUAAUAUCGCAUACGUCCUGAGGGAGAAAGUGGGGGAUCUUCGGACCUCACGCGUUUAGAUGAGCCUAGGUCGGUUUAGCUAGUUGGUGGGGUAAAGGCCUACCAGGGCGACGAUCCGUAACUGGGCUGAGAGGAUGAUCAGUAAACCUGAAACUGAGAAACGGACAAGCCCCCUAGGGAGGGCAGAGGUGGGAAACAUUGGACAAGGGGGGAAAGCUUGCUCCAUCAAUGCAGGGUGGUUGAAGAAGGUCUUCGGGUUGUAAAGCAGUUUAAGUGGGGAGAAAGGGUAGUAAGUUAAUAGCUCGCUGUUUGAACGUUACCAAUAGAAAAAGCACCGGUAAAUUCCGU